Molecule: non-coding RNA, 89 nt
Organism: Colletotrichum sp. SAR 10_99
Lineage: Eukaryota; Fungi; Ascomycota; Sordariomycetes; Glomerellales; Glomerellaceae
Source: the annotation of a GenBank genome assembly
GGCUGUGUGUUCUAGUUGGUUAAGAUUUCUCGUUCACAUCAUGUGUACCUGAUCCGAGAAGGUCCCAGGUUCGAGCCCUGGCACGGUCA